AUUGAACGCUGGCGGCAUGCCUUACACAUGCAAGUCAAGGCAGCACGGGAGCGAAUCCUGGUGGCGAGUGGCGAACGGGUGAGUAAUAUAUCGGAACGUGUCCAGUCGUGGGGGGAUAACGUAGCGAAAGCUACGCUAAUACCGCAUACGAUCUAUGGAUGAAAGCGGGGGAUCGCAAGACCUCGCGCGAUUGGAGCGGCCGAUAUCAGAUUAGGUAGUUGGUGAGGUAAAGGCUCACCAAGCCGACGAUCUGUAGCUGGUCUGAGAGGACGACCAGCCACACUGGGACUGAGACACGGCCCAGACUCCUACGGGAGGCAGCAGUGGGGAAUUUUGGACAAUGGGCGCAAGCCUGAUCCAGCAAUGCCGCGUGCAGGAUGAAGGCCUUCGGGUUGUAAACUGCUUUUGUACGGAACGAAACGGUGAGCUCUAAUACAGUUUGCUAAUGACGGUACCGUAAGAAUAAGCACCGGCUAACUACGUG
Molecule: ribosomal RNA, 484 nt
Filed under: uncultured bacterium
Lineage: Bacteria
Description: bacterial SSU rRNA
Rfam family: Bacterial small subunit ribosomal RNA
Source: RNAcentral